This 272-nucleotide long non-coding RNA is filed under the name Gallus gallus (chicken). Its description in RNAcentral is "long non-coding RNA NONGGAT002563". The record is from RNAcentral. Lineage: Eukaryota; Metazoa; Chordata; Aves; Galliformes; Phasianidae.
GUGACACGCUCCUGGAUGUGGAUGAGCAUUCACGUAAACCAGGCGCGGGAGAGGAGAUCGUGGCUUUCAGUGCUCAGGAGAGCAUCAAAUAGCUUCGCUUUCAAAUCAAAGUGAGAUUGCAGUGGUUGUGUUGUCAUCGUCCCCGUUCCGCCGCUGUGGUCUUUGCGAGGAGGAGGCGUCUUUGGGGAGCGGGUCCAGCCAGGCUCGUUGCUAUGGCAAAGUCUCUGCUGAUGCCUGCUCUCUGCCUGCAAUUGCUAUUCAGCAGCUGUUUC